RNAcentral lists this ribosomal RNA (119 nucleotides) under Pteropus alecto (black flying fox). Lineage: Eukaryota; Metazoa; Chordata; Mammalia; Chiroptera; Pteropodidae. The record is from RNAcentral.
GUCUACAGCCAUGUCACCCUGAACAAGCCAGAUCCUGUCUGAUCUUGGAAGCUAAGCAGGGUCGGGCCUGGUUAGUACUUGGAUGGGAGACCACCUAGGAAAACCAGGUGCUGUAGGAG